Molecule: long non-coding RNA, 1977 nt
Filed under: Octopus vulgaris (common octopus)
Lineage: Eukaryota; Metazoa; Mollusca; Cephalopoda; Octopoda; Octopodidae
Source: RNAcentral
CGGCAAGAGCAGCAGCAGCCUGAAUCAGCUGCACCAACACCACUACCUUCAGCAGCAGUAACAGGCGCAGCAUCAGCAGCAACAGCAGCAGCAGCAGCCGCAAACACAGCAGCAGCAGCGCUACCAUAUAUCCGAGCUUAACCACGUUUUCACAACCUUGUAUUUACUUUGCCUCCUGAAUAAUCGUGUGGUGCAGCAGCUGAUAUUUAAUUUGUUUGUGUGUGCAACUCGAACCUGCCAUCCGCCGAAUUGCCGCUUUUUUUUCCUCUCUCUGUCUAUCCGUCAGUUUUUCCUCUCUCUUUCUCUCACUCACUCACUCUCACUUUCACACACUCUCUCUCUCUCUAUAUAUAUAUAUAUAUAUAUAUACAAACAUAUAUAUAUAUCUACAAACAUGUAUGGGUAAUAUAGAUAUGUAUGUAUAUAUAGUAUGAUAUAUACAUAUAUCUACAUAUAUAUAUAAGUUUAUUUAUACAUAUCUAGUUACUUCUGCUUUGAUCAGCUCUGAUCAGUUUGUGUCCGGUAUCGUGUAACAACGGAAAGCAUGCCGUGAACAGCAACAACAACAACAACAACUAUAUCAAGAUGGCUAACCUAUAAAUACAAACACACAUGCAUAAAUAGCUGUAUACAUCCAUAAAUACAUAUAUACUUGUUCACAAAUACACAUACACACACUCACACACACACGUGUGCAUACAUACAAAUUCAUUCAUACAUAGACAUACGUUCUCGCAUACAUAUAUAGACACAUAUAUAGACACAUAUAUACAUACAUACAUACACAAACACAAACAGACACACAUAUAUAUAGAUAUAUAUAUAUAUAUAUAUAUUAUAUAGAUAUAUAUAUAUACAUACAUACACACAUCAGUACACGUAUACACACACACACAUAUAUAUAUGCAUAUAUAUACAAGCGCAUACAUCAUGUAAAAAUUCACAUGUAUAUAUAUAAAUAAUCACACAUACCCAUACUCACGCACUCUCAGCUACAGCCACACCCAGCCAGAGCACACACAAACGCAUACUCCUUGGUAUGCAUACCUUUAUAUACACAAACAAACGAAAGGAGAAUAUAUAUAAUUAAAAAGAAGAAACGAAAAUUAAAACAACUGGAAAAUCCCGCAAAGGAAAAAAAAAAAAAAGGGGCUGAAUACGAGGCAAAAAAAAAACACACACAAAAGCAAAAAAAAAAACAAAAAAAUGAGAGAGGGAAAAUGAUAAAUGUAUUGCAAUUAAUACUGGCGAUGGUAACAUUCUUGAUGAGGAAUAUGACGAUGAUGAUGAUGAUGAUCAUGAUGAAUACAAUGAUGAUAAUGAUGAUGAUGAUGACAACGACGACGAUGAUGAUGAUGGCAUAUACUACGGGAGAUGCGACGUACAGUGACCCGCCAAAAUGAUGGAAUAUAACAUUACCGAGUAUUAUAACAACCACGAUACCAAUAAUAAUAAUAAUAAUAAUAAUAAUAAUAAUCUGUUUUAUCAUCAUAUAUCAAUGAUUAUUGAAAAGGUAAAUAAAAAAAUAAAAUUUUAAAAAUAAAAAUAAAAAAAAAAACAAGGAAGAAAUCAACCUUUGUCACAGCCAUCACAAACACGAUGAUAAAAAAAUAAUUAAUUAAUUAAUUAAUUAAUAAAUAUUAAUAAUAAAAAAAAAAAUAUUAUAAUAAUUAUCAAUAAUAGUAAUAAUAAUAAUAAUAAAAAUAAUAAUAAUAAUCGUGUUCCUUUUUUGCUGGAUGAAGAUUUUUUCCUACGUUCUCAUUCGGAAAGGAUUUAACCAUUUUUCUGUGAGCUUUUAAUUAAAAAAAAGGAACUUAUUCUGGCCUAUGUUGACAUCUAUUGCAAGGAGCUGGUUGGUUUUAUACGUACCCACAUGUAUAUAUAUAUAUACACUUACUAGUAUACAUACAUAUAUAUAUAUACUACAAUAAAGGUAAGAAGAUUUUAAUUUUUUUUCCAUGUACAUACACAUCCAAC